AGCGGAAGUCGGGCGGACGGUGCCGUCGCCAACUUGGUCAGAUCCGGAAGGAAGCAGCCACAACGAUUUCGUACCGGGUCGUUCCGGCUUCCACCCUU
RNAcentral lists this signal recognition particle RNA (98 nucleotides) under Alterirhizorhabdus solaris. RNAcentral describes it as "Sphingomonas solaris Bacterial small signal recognition particle RNA". It matches the Rfam family "Bacterial small signal recognition particle RNA". Rfam says of the family: The signal recognition particle (SRP) is a universally conserved ribonucleoprotein involved in the co-translational targeting of proteins to membranes. Archaeal SRP consists of a 7S RNA and homologues of the eukaryotic SRP19 and SRP54 proteins. The record is from Rfam by way of RNAcentral. Lineage: Bacteria; Pseudomonadati; Pseudomonadota; Alphaproteobacteria; Sphingomonadales; Rhizorhabdaceae.